RNAcentral lists this long non-coding RNA (1800 nucleotides) under Anser cygnoides (Swan goose). RNAcentral's name for it is "lncRNA (ENSACDG00005008022.1)". Lineage: Eukaryota; Metazoa; Chordata; Aves; Anseriformes; Anatidae. The record is from RNAcentral.
AGCUGCAAACACAGGCCUGAGCACUCUCCUGGAAUGCACUAGGAGCAACAAUCACCAAAAGUCCUGAUUUGAGGAAACUUCAACGUGGGAGAUGAGGAAGGCCUCAGGAGACAAAACCAAAGGACUGGAGCCAAUCUAAGGCCCGCACCGCUCCUGCCAGAAGCCCGGCUGUGCAUGGCAAUGGGGGAAGACCACGGAUAAGAGCCUGUGGGAAAAUAGCUGAACCAUUUGUGGCCAGCACAAAAGCAGAUGCUGAAGAACCACUGACAUGGACUUCAGAUUCGGAGAAAGCUUUCAUAAUCCUGUAGAAAGUUUUGAUGUCAGCACCCACACUCAAGAUGCUAAAUUACAGUAAGCCAUUCCAUUUACUUGUGCAUGAGAGGAAAAGAGUGGCCUCUGGGUCUUGGCUCACACUUUGGGAGGGCGGAGGUACCUAGUGGCUUACUGUCAGCCCAGUUGGACCCAGUUUUUAAAGGCAUGGCAGGAAGCAUUAGAGCAAUAGCCUCAGCAGCACUGAUAGUAGAAAAAUGUCAGAAGAUUGUGUUAGGACUCUAAGCACCCUAUGUGGUGUUGAAUUGAUGUUAACUAAAUGUGCUUCUUUAUCUAUAUGAGUUUUCAGAGACUCCACAAGUACGAACUGCUGUUGAUGACAGCAGAUAACAUCCUCUUGAGAAGAUGCAAAUCCUUGAACCUGGCAACCUUGUUACCAUUGGUGGAUGAAGGGGACCCACAUCAUGGCUGCAUAGAGCAGGUGAGCCUUGACCCUCAAGGAGUCAGCCCUGAGAGACAUCACACCUCAGAAGUGUCCCAGCUUAGGGAAACUGAGGGUCACAUCCUGCUGUGAUUCCUGGAGAGCUCCGUCAUUUCUCCACGGGGGAUUUCUAUGGGUACCUGUUUCAAGGCAGUACCCCCUUUGUUCAUGGUCAUGGUGUUGAGCAUGCACUUGGUGCUCUGUUAUUGAUGUGCUGUCUGGUUCAAGGAAUGGGCACAUCAAGGCCUUCUGUGGCUCAUAAACCUGAGGAAGACUUACGUCAAGUGCAGGAGAAGAGCAUACCUGCCACAAUAGGAUGGCCCAAAGCACUCACCUUUAUGGAAUGCAGAGGCAGGCAGUAUAAUGAGGUUCUUAUUAAAAGACACGGUGACCAGGCUUGGAAUUCCAGAAAAGGUUGAUUCAAACCAGGGGAGCCAUUUCACAGCUCAGGUUUUAAAAAGGUGAUGUGAAACAUUAGGCGUCACCUAAUACCUGUAUACCCCGUAUCAACCACCAUCGUCAAGGAAAGUUGAAUGAAUGAAUCAGAGCUUGAAAAAUACUGUAUUUAAUACUUGUGCAGAAACCGAUCUGAAGAAGACAGAUGCCUUAACAAUCACUUUAAUGCAUACAAAGCAGAGGCCAAAACAGAUAGGAUUAAUGCCAGCUGGGGUAUUAUUUGGGAGAUAUUUUCAGAUUCCAAAUACUUAUGUAGCUGCAAAGACUGUCUUACUGGGAGGGGAUGAAAGGUUGACUCAGUAUGUGUUGGAGAUCCACAAAUACAUAAAAUCUUGACAAUACUAAGCUCAACUGUAGCAACCACUGUCUUUAGAAGGGAAAAUGCAGCCCUAUGAACAAGAAGAUUACAUAAAAAGAAAAAUCAGUUAAGCCUAAGGUGGGAAUGGCUUUCUUUCAGGGGGUAUUGUUGACUUCUUUUUCAUCAGUACUUGUAAGAAGGAAAAACCCUGGGAUGCACUGUUCUCAUGUGAAAUUUUCCAGGGCUGAAGAAGUCAAAAUUCCCUUGAAAAUUAUAUAGGAAAAAAAAAAAAAAA